CUACGGAGGGUCCAAGCGUUAUGCGGAAUCAUUGGGUUUAAAGGGUCCGCAGGCGGUCAAUUAAGUCAGAGGUGAAAGCCCAUCGCUCAACGAUGGAACUGCCUUUGAUACUGGUUGACUUGAGUUAUACGGAAGUAGAUAGAAUAAGUAGUGUAGCGGUGAAAUGCAUAGAUAUUACUUAGAAUACCGAUUGCGAAGGCAGUCUACUACGUAUAUACUGACGCUGAGGGACGAAAGCGUGGGGAGCGAACAGGAUUAGAAACCCUAGUAGUCC
This 274-nucleotide ribosomal RNA is filed under the name uncultured bacterium. RNAcentral describes it as "partial 16S ribosomal RNA". It matches the Rfam family "Bacterial small subunit ribosomal RNA", at positions 523 to 796 of the family's 1533-position model. The record is from RNAcentral.